This is a long non-coding RNA of Ailuropoda melanoleuca (giant panda), 314 nucleotides long. RefSeq lists it as uncharacterized. NCBI's taxonomy places the organism in Eukaryota, Metazoa, Chordata, Mammalia, Carnivora, Ursidae. The record is from RefSeq and is a predicted model, not a curated record. The transcript has 3 exons.
CGUCUGGGCCUGGAGCUGGGCUUUCUUCCUGCAGAGCUGCCUGGAAAGGAGGGGAGGCAGGAUGGAAACGCCUGUUGUGGAGAUGCCCCUGGGAACAUGCCAGGCACCCUCAGCUUCCGGCCCCGUGGUGUCAAUUCCAAGGAGCCCCUUGACAAAGCUCCGCGGCCGAGUUCUCUUAGAUGAGCUUUGGUUCUGAGCCAAUUUAUGUCAUGGUACAGCUCGAUGGCCUUCUCCCUGGGCUGCUGCAGAAGACACACACGCUGUGCAGCCCCAAGGGCAGCAGGGUCCUUCCUCCUCAAAGCCCCGAACGGAAG